UACAGAGGGGGCAAGCGUUAUUCGGAAUUAUUGGGCGUAAAGCGCGUGUAGGCGGUCCGGUAAGUCCGCUGUGAAAGUCGGGGGCUCAACCCUCGAAUGCCGGUGGAUACUGUCGGGCUAGAGUGCGGAAGAGGCGAGUGGAAUUCCUGGUGUAGCGGUGAAAUGCGCAGAUAUCAGGAGGAACACCAAUUGCGAAGGCAGCUCGCUGGGACGUUACUGACGCUGAGACGCGAAAGCGUGGGGAGCAAACAGG
This 253-nucleotide ribosomal RNA is filed under the name uncultured bacterium. RNAcentral's name for it is "partial 16S ribosomal RNA". It matches the Rfam family "Bacterial small subunit ribosomal RNA", at positions 524 to 776 of the family's 1533-position model. The record is from RNAcentral.